This 451-nucleotide ribosomal RNA is filed under the name uncultured bacterium. RNAcentral describes it as "bacterial SSU rRNA". It matches the Rfam family "Bacterial small subunit ribosomal RNA", at positions 354 to 796 of the family's 1533-position model. The record is from RNAcentral.
GUGGGGAAUUGUUCGCAAUGGGCGCAAGCCUGACGACGCAACGCCGCGUGGAGGAUGAAGACCUUCGGGUCGUAAACUCCUUUCGACCGAGAUGAAUUCCCGCCGGCCUAACAUGCCGGCGGGUUGACAGUAUCGAGGGAAGCAGCCCCGGCUAACUCCGUGCCAGCAGCCGCGGUAAUACGGGGGGGGCAAGCGUUGUUCGGAAUUACUGGGCGUAAAGGGUUCGUAGGUGGCUUUCUAAGUCAGACGUGAAAUCCCUCAGCUUAACUGGGGAACUGCGUCUGAGACUGGCGAGCUUGAGUGCAGGAGAGGAAUGCGGAAUUCCAGGUGUAGCGGUGAAAUGCGUAGAUAUCUGGAGGAACACCGGUGGCGAAGGCGGCGUUCUGGACUGCAACUGACACUGAGGAACGAAAGCCAGGGGAGCAAACGGGAUUAGAUACCCCUGUAGUCC